Long non-coding RNA from Cyprinus carpio carpio, 357 nucleotides. The record is from Ensembl. NCBI's taxonomy places the organism in Eukaryota, Metazoa, Chordata, Actinopteri, Cypriniformes, Cyprinidae.
CCUCUGCACAGUCUACAACCUCUACUCCUCUACUGCCAAGCUAUGAGCAGGAUGUGAUCCGAUGGCACUGUUCUCAACAGCAAAGAAUCUGGAUGAAAACAGAAAUGGAAGCCUUGGGACUGUGGCCAGAUUCUAGACCGAGCACACCAUUAUGGAAAGAGUCCGCAACAACUACACUCUGCCAUGUCUAUAUGGCUGUCCGAAUCCCCACAUGGUCUCAUCAGGAGUUGGACGACCCCGUGUCAUUAUUGGUACAAGCAACCAGUACUACAUACCGGCCUCUCGGCUCAGCUGUAAAAUCUGUAAAAAGUACUGGUUUGCAGACAAACCCCAAUGGAUGGACAUGCUGCUGAGUCG